GGCUGAACAAAAAUAUGAGAUAAUGUAAAAAAUCUCAGAUAAGUAGUCCAUGACACAAUCAUAAUUUUAUUACCAAAGUAGUUAGUUAUGUCGUAUACCCUGUAUCUACACCAGUCGUGAAGAUCUCAAACAUGCAGUUUGUCAUUCGUUGGUCACAUGGAGAAACUACUCAAGAAAUGAUUAAAUACCAGAACACUUUGUUACCAAGCGAUUGGAAGAACAUCUCCAAGCACUUCGUUACCACUAGGACACUGGUGCAAAUCUCUAGCCAUGCCCAAAAGUAUUUCCGUAGGAUGGAGAACACUGCUAGGAGGCAGCAUAACAGCAUCGAUAACGUUGGCCUCUGCGAUGAUGAGCCCAGGGUGCAAACUAAUGUUUCGAUCCUAAAGGGGUUCACCUUCACCAGUGGAACCUACAACCCAGUCGACUAUGGCUCCAACAUCCAAUUUGUCGUCAUGAGUAACCUGGCCAAGCAGAUAUGGUUUCCAUCCUUAUGUUGUACUAACCAGGCAAAGCAACAACAGUAACUAAGCCACUACCUUAGACAAUUAUAUGUAUGUGGUCCUGUUAUAGUGUGUUGCCUUUGCUUGUGUUCUUUGCUUCGUCUAUGUCUCUAUGAAGAUUAAAAAUAAAGAUAUAUUUCAGUAUUUAAGGACUCAUUUGGACCAAUCAUUCCCUAUGGGAUCGGAGGGAAUUAAAGAUAAAAUGAACGUAUUGUAAAGCAGGUUAGUGUACUUCGCCAUCAGACAUGAAGAAAAAGGUUAACAAAAUGUAGUAGGCACAUUAUUCAUGUGUAAAAACUUGAUUAUAAGUACUAUAUAUACACACAUGCAUGCAGUCAGCAUAAUAAUUGCAUAACCGAGCACGGCAAGGAGAUUUUCAAUUGCCACAUAUUGACUAGUGUCGUCUAUAUACGAUGAGCCAAUUAAGCUUAGAAAAAAAAACUUUUUGCGAAUCUACCGUAUGUUACCUUCGACCCCAGCAAAUUUAAAAUAUGACCCCGGCAGCGGCAGCCCAGCCCACGAGAGAAGAUGUCGAUUUCUCAUCCUUUGUACAGGCCGGCAAGCCGCAAACCCAGUACGUGGACUGGACGCAUGCCCUGUUAUGAGAUCUCAGAGUUUUCUUUUGAUACUUUUUCAUGUGGUUAGCGUGUAUAUAUUCUGAAUGGUAGUGUAUCAUCUACUUUUCAUUGGCUGAUUCUAGUAAGGGCAUGUUCGGUUGCAUCUAGGUGGAACUAAUCCAGGGAGGGAGAGUAUCUCCUUUCCAUUGCAGAGUAAAUGCAUGGGGGAAUGCAGUCCAGGAUUGACAUGUAGAUUUUGAACAGGAUUGGUUCAACUACUCUAGAGGUCUGGAUUGAAUCCAGACGGCCAUCAUGCAUGGAUGCAGACAGCGUGGGUGACGAUUGUGACACUGCUGGCAUAAUGACAAAGUGGGCAGCCUGCUACUGGCCAGCCUAGACCUGUGGGACGCAGCGAGGCCCAGAAUUGAAUCCAGGCGGAUCCAGGUGGUUUGGUCGCACAACCGAACGAGGCCUAAGUUGUCGGGACAUUCGAGAAGAUAUGGGAAGCAGCAAAUGUACUAUUCGUCAUUCUUCGCGGGUUUUAGGAUCAGAGGUUAAUUUUUAGAACUAUCCAAAAGCCUGCGCGUGUAGAAAAUCCAAUUUUCGGCCACACACUCCUAUUUGAGAAAGAAAUUAUUUUUGUUGCAAAAAAAGGAAAAAAACACACCAGAUCUCUUAUUCCCCGACUAUGGUUCCCUUGCCCCUGCCACCGGCCACCGCCAUGUCGCGGGCGCUAGGGUUCGCCAGAGCUACGGCGAACUCUAGCGCUCGCGGCAACCGCCAGGGUUCGCCAGAGCUACGGCGAACUCUAGCGCUCGCGGCGGCCGCCCUCUUUCCCUCCCUUCCCCCACCACCGCCACGCCCCGACCUAGCCCGACUGCUCCUACCAUCGCCAGCUCCCCUAGUUGCCCAUUGACAAUCUUCACCGUCUGGCCUACCUGUCUCCCUUGUUCGACCAUUCUAUAGUCCACCGGAGAAAGGAGAGCUCACCGGAACCCUAGAGGAGAGAGAGAGAGAGAGAGAGAGAGAGAGAGAGAGAGGAGGAUGACGGGACCUACCUGGCGCCGCCGCCACAAGAUUCGAUGGAUUCACCGCCACCGCCAGAUUCGGCGGAUUAGCCAUCGCCAGAUUCAGCGGAUUAGCCGCCGCUGCCGUCACCAGAUUCGGCGGAUUCACCGCUGCUGCUGUCAGAUUCGACGGAUUCGUCGUCGCCGCCGCCACGGGCCACGGCUAGAUUCGGUGGAUCUGCCUCCACCGCCACCGCUAAAUCUACCAUGGCCGCACACAGGGGAGCCGGUGGGGCGUGGGCGUGGGGAGUACGCCACCGGUAGCUGUCACCAAAGAGAGAGAUUGUGUGGCCGUUUGCAGAAGAAGUGUUGUGUGUUGUGGGGAAAGGAUAAGGUGCGUCGGGGGUGUGCAGGCGUUUGGAGCUGCGGACGCACACCCGAAAAGUAUCAUUUUCAAAAAUUUUAACAAGCUUGCACAUGAUCAUACCGUUGACCGAUGGCGUG
This 2571-nucleotide long non-coding RNA is filed under the name Sorghum bicolor (sorghum). Its description in RNAcentral is "long non-coding RNA (SBIC_LNC016912)". The record is from RNAcentral. Lineage: Eukaryota; Viridiplantae; Streptophyta; Magnoliopsida; Poales; Poaceae.